RNAcentral lists this ribosomal RNA (468 nucleotides) under uncultured bacterium. RNAcentral describes it as "partial 16S ribosomal RNA". It matches the Rfam family "Bacterial small subunit ribosomal RNA", at positions 28 to 507 of the family's 1533-position model. The record is from RNAcentral.
GACGAACGCUGGCGGCGUGCUUAACACAUGCAAGUCGAACGGAAAGGCCCUGCUUUUGUUUGGUGCUCGAUUGGCGAACGGGUGAGUAACACGGGAGUAACCUGCCCUUGACUUUCUGGUAACUGCAGGAAACUGGUGCUAAUACCGGAUAGUAGCUCCUGCUGCAUGUUGGGGGUUGGAAAGUUUCGGCGGUUGGGGAUGGACUCGCGGCUUAUCAGCUUGUUGGUGGGGUAGUGGCUUACCAAGGAUUUGACGGGUAGCCGGCCUGAGAGGGUGACCGGGCACAUUGGGACUGAGAUAGGGCCAAGAAUCAUACGGGAGGAAGCAGCGGAAAAUAUUGCACACUGGGCGGAAGCCUGAUGCAGCGACGUCGGGUGCGGGAUCACGGUCUUAGGGUUAUAAACCGCUUUCGACUGUAAAGAAGAGUGAGUGACGGUAAUGGAUAAGAAAGCAACGGCUAACUACGUG